This 732-nucleotide ribosomal RNA is filed under the name uncultured bacterium. RNAcentral describes it as "bacterial SSU rRNA". The stretch from base 34 to 601 matches the Rfam family "Bacterial small subunit ribosomal RNA", at positions 9 to 546 of the family's 1533-position model. The record is from RNAcentral.
AACUUUUUCGGUACUCGCGAAUGCAUUCAGAUUGAUUUAAUGAUCAUGGCUCAGAAUGAACGCUGGCGGUUGUGCUUAACACAUGCAAGUCGAGCGAGGCCUGGGGGGCAACUCCCAGAGUCGAGCGGCGGACGGGUGAGUAACACGUGGGUAACCUGCCCGGAUGUGGGGAAUACCUCGGGGAAACUCGAGCUAAUACCGCAUGACAUCUCCGGGACGAAAGUCCUGGCGAUCAGAGCGGGGUCGCAAGAUCUCGCGCAACCGGAUGGGCCCGCGCCCGAUUAGCUAGUUGGUGAGGUAACGGCUCACCAAGGCUUCGAUCGGUAACCGGCCUGAGAGGGCGAUCGGUCACACCGGAACUGAGACACGGUCCGGACUCCUACGGGAGGCAGCAGUGGGGAAUCUUGCGCAAUGGGCGAAAGCCUGACGCAGCAACGCCGCGUGGAGGAUGAAGGCCCUUGGGUUGUAAACUCCUGUCGGCUGGGAAGAAAUCGUGCGGUGCUAAUACCACCGUGCGUUGACUGUACCAGCAAAGGAAGCCCCGGCGUAACUCUAGUGCCAGCAAGCCGCGGUAAUACAAGAGGGGGCCACGCGUUAAUUCGGANAUUAUUGGGGCCGUAAAGGGGCGCGUUAAANANNGCGCCCAUCACGCNUGNACNCCCCCCGCACAANCCCCCCGNCCUCAAACGAAACGNANUUCGGGAAAAAACUUGGAGGGGCCGAAUCCGGACA